GCAGAGAGAGGCAGAGGGACUGAGACCGCUUGGGUCACAAGAUAAUAACAGAACCAUGCCACAGGAGUCCCUGUCAGCUGUGGCCAAAGUCUCCCUCUGACAGAUGAGCAGUGGUCAUAAAGACAGUUAUGACUUGUGUACAAUCUGGCAAGCUUGUCUCUCUCGGCAGCGGAUAUCAAACUCAAGUGUUCAGGAAGAUGUAUGACACUAAACUUUCCAGCAUGCAGAAAAUGGGUGCAGAGUAACCCUGAAGAUGAGAUGCAGGCACAAAGGGAUGCUGACCUUGAACGUGAUUUUGUGAUUCUGGAAGAUGAGCCUCAUGUCUUGCACAAAGUCUUCUACUUGGCAGUAAGCCUGUCACUCAGCCUUUUCUUGAUUAUGUCCAACCACAUAGGCUCUUGCACACCCACAGUCAUCUCUCUAAACUGGUGAGGGAAAUAGCCACAGAAGAGUGAAUGCCACGGUUCAGCAUUUACCUUCCAUCGGGUCCCAGAAAGUCUACAGAAACAACAGAGCCUGUGCCCCUCAGGGAUUAAGAUCACAAAUCCCACAAUGGCCCUCUCAGUCAUGAGACAUCAGGAAGCCAGGGAUCAGGGGUUCACCACCGUUACUUACAUAAUAAUAAUAUGGCAUCUUGGAAAAAAAAGGAGCUCUCAGAACAGCAAUAGACUCUCAAGAGAACAUACUCACACUUCUGCAAGAAAAAGGGACUCAGUCAAAGUGACUUAGAAAGGCAGAGUCUAUACAUGUACCCAGGGGGAAGGCGCCGCUCAAACCCAUCUGCAAAUCUGCCCAAAAUGAGUGCCUCUUGGUUAUAAACUUGUUUGACUGAGUUUUUAUACCAAGGAGUUAUGCUGCGACAGCUCUAUGAUGGAGUGCGGCUUGGGAGAGCAGGCUCUCUGUGAAUGCUAUUCUUCUGGCUCCAAGCCUGUCUGUCCUUAUCCAGGAAAAAGGAGAAAAGAUUGGUUCACAGUGACUCACCAACUGUUCCUGGGGAGCCAUCUCCCUCUGCAGUAUCUCAGAUUCUGGAAGACUCGGUUGACUUCCUAAGGACUGCAUUCUACAGAAGAUGCAACUCCAUGGUGUUCUGAAAGGUUGGACAGGAAGUGAGCAGAGGACAUGACCAGUGAAAACAGCCACUGUUCCUAUGCCUGCUAUUAUGCUUUCGUGAAUGGCUGACAGUCUAUCUGGGGCAAGGGUUCUCAGACACUGAAGGACCCCACUUAGAAUCUUAGGUUGUCAGCCCCCUGUCAAUGUCAUGGCAGGAGGCAGCCCUUGGAAAGUGGGCUUUGUAAUGAGUGGUAGGUCCCCAUUUCCUGACAGAGAUUGCUGGGAGCACAAGGAGACUAGGCACAGUAAAAUGGUCUUCAAAAAAAUUCUGGGAAUCUUGAACUUCUAAGAGUCCAUUGCAAGGUGGUGAAAUGUGGGAAGUAGUCAGUCAUGCUUAUUUUUCUUUCAUAAGUACAUAGAAAGCAAAAGUAGUGUAUUCUACCCCCAAUCUUUUGGACAAGAGGCUUUAGUAUACAACUUUGAGAAAAGGCAGUAGUGGUGUGUAGGCAAAGGACCCAGCCUUUAUAUCAGGAGAGAUGGCUCCCUAACAGAGAGAACAUUAACCUUUUGCUGAGAGCAUCUUGAGACAGCUCUCUGGGUCUUCCUGUUUGGUAUCUGUUAAGAGCCCUUGUGUUUCCCACCUCAAGACCCACACUACCACUCCAUAAGGAUGAUGCAUAUGACAAGGCGGGGGUACUAGGAGACAGAGAAGGGAUCCCAUCCCACUCACAUCUCAGCUUCCACUGUUGGGAUAUGACAGUCCUCAUGGAAGGCUGUGAAACAAGUAUCACAGCAGAAGAGUGUUCCUCCAUCCCGGCACACCUCACAUUCAUCUGAGUUCUGAAUCUAGAAAAUAGAACAUCUUCACCAUUGGCAAUCCUCCACAAGGUGGCCUUUGCACGAAUCUAUAAGGAAAUUGAUGCUUCUGCCUGGUAGAUUUAGGAAAAACAUGGAACACAAUUUGCAAAACAAGGCUUCCUGGUCUUCAGUGAAGUCUGGGAGAAGGGAGGCAUGAACCAGACCCCAUCUUCCCUGUGAAACCAAAGAUCCUGACCCCCAAUCUUAGGGUGCUGGUUUGAAUAAAAAUGGCCCCCAUAGGGAGUGGUGCUAUUAGGAGUUGUGGCCUUGUUGAAACCAGCAUGACUUUGUUGGAGGAAUUCCAUCACUAGGGGGCAGACUUUGAGGUCUAGGUAGUUCAAACCAGACCUAGAGGUUCACAGUCAACUUUCUGCUGCCUUCUAAUCCAGUUGUAAAACUCUCAGCUACUGCUCCAGCACCAUGUCAGCCAGCAUGCUGCCAUGCUUCCUGCCAUGAUGAUAAUGGACUAGACCUCUGAACCGUAAGCCAGACCCAAUGAAAACAAAUUUUUUUAUAA
Molecule: long non-coding RNA, 2425 nt
Filed under: Mus musculus (house mouse)
Lineage: Eukaryota; Metazoa; Chordata; Mammalia; Rodentia; Muridae
Description: predicted gene 16025
Source: RNAcentral